AAAAAACCAUAGGGACUCCCUAAUUCUUUAUCCUCUCCUUUUAUCCUUUUUUUUUUAGCGGCUCAAAAUUCGUUAUCUUUCU
This 82-nucleotide transfer RNA is filed under the name Scabiosa japonica. RNAcentral's name for it is "partial transfer RNA-Leu". The record is from RNAcentral. RNAcentral also lists the same sequence under 1 other name. Lineage: Eukaryota; Viridiplantae; Streptophyta; Magnoliopsida; Dipsacales; Caprifoliaceae.